CGAAUGCUGACAUAAGUAACGAUAAAGCGGGUGAAAAGCCCGCUCGCCGGAAGACCAAGGGUUCCUGUCCAACGUUAAUCGGGGCAGGGUGAGUCGACCCCUAAGGCGAGGCCGAAAGGCGUAGUCGAUGGGAAACAGGUUAAUAUUCCUGUACUUGGUGUUACUGCGAAGGGGGGACGGAGAAGGCUAUGUUGGCCGGGCGACGGUUGUCCCGGUUUAAGCGUGUAGGCUGGUUUUCCAGGCAAAUCCGGAAAAUCAAGGCUGAGGCGUGAUGACGAGGCACUACGGUGCUGAAGCAACAAAUGCCCUGCUUCCAGGAAAAGCCUCUAAGCAUCAGGUAACAUCAAAUCGUACCCCAAACCGACACAGGUGGUCAGGUAGAGAAUACCAAGGCGCUUGAGAGAACUCGGGUGAAGGAACUAGGCAAAAUGGUGCCGUAACUUCGGGAGAAGGCACGCUGAUAUGUAGGUGAAGUCCCUCGCGGAUGGAGCUGAAAUCAGUCGAAGAUACCAGCUGGCUGCAACUGUUUAUUAAAAACACAGCACUGUGCAAACACGAAAGUGGACGUAUACGGUGUGACGCCUGCCCGGUGCCGGAAGGU
RNAcentral lists this ribosomal RNA (601 nucleotides) under Escherichia coli. RNAcentral's name for it is "partial 23S ribosomal RNA". It matches the Rfam family "Bacterial large subunit ribosomal RNA", at positions 1291 to 1877 of the family's 2925-position model. Lineage: Bacteria; Pseudomonadati; Pseudomonadota; Gammaproteobacteria; Enterobacterales; Enterobacteriaceae. The record is from RNAcentral.